UUCGGUGUGUAGCGGUGAAAUGUUUAGAUUUCACGAGGAACUCCGAUCGCGCAGGCAUUGUACCGGGGCAUUACUGACGCUGAGGCUGGAAGGUGCGGGUAUCAACAGGGAUUAGAUACCCUGGUAGUCCGCACAGUAAACGAUGAAUGCCCGCUGUCGGCGACAUAGUGUCGGCGGCCAAGCGAAAGCGUUAAGCAUUCCACCUGGGGAGUACGCCGGCAACGGUGAAACUCAAAGGAAUUGACGGGGGCCCGCACAAGCGGAGGAACAUGUGGUUUAAUUCGAUGAUACGCGAGGAACCUUACCCGGGCUUGAAUCGCAGGUGCAUGGGCCGGAGACGGCCCUUUCCUUCGGGACUCCUGCGAAGGUGCUGCAUGGUUGUCGUCAGCUCGUGCCGUGAGGUGUCGGCUUAAGUGCCAUAACGAGCGCAACCCCCCUCCCCAGUUGCCACCGGGUAAUGCCGGGCACUUUGGGGACACUGCCACCGCAAGGUGCGAGGAAGGUGGGGAUGACGUCAAAUCAGCACGGCCCUUACGUCCGGGGCGACACACGUGUUACAAUGGGGGGUACAGAGGGCCGCUGCCCGGUGACGGUUGGCCAAUCCCUAAAACCCCUCUCAGUUCGGACUGGAGUCUGCAACCCGACUCCACGAAGCUGGAUUCGCUAGUAAUCGCGCAUCAGCCAUGGCGCGGUGAAUACGUUCCCGGGCCUUGUACACACCGCCCGUCAAGCCAUGAAAGCCGGGGGUGCCUGAAGUCCGUGACCGCGAGGGUCGGCCUAGGGUAAAACCGGUGAUUGGGGCUAAGUCGUAACAAGGUAGCCGUACCGGAAGGUGCGGCUG
Molecule: ribosomal RNA, 841 nt
Filed under: human gut metagenome
Description: bacterial SSU rRNA
Rfam family: Bacterial small subunit ribosomal RNA
Source: RNAcentral